GCAGUCGACGAACUCUGGUAUUGAUUGGUGCUUGCAUCAUGAUUUACAUUUGAGUGAGUGGCGAACUGGUGAGUAACACGUGGGAAACCUGCCCAGAAGCGGGGGAUAACACCUGGAAACAGAUGCUAAUACCGCAUAACAACUUGGACCGCAUGGUCCGAGUUUGAAAGAUGGCUUCGGCUAUCACUUUUGGAUGGUCCCGCGGCGUAUUAGCUAGAUGGUGGGGUAACGGCUCACCAUGGCAAUGAUACGUAGCCGACCUGAGAGGGUAAUCGGCCACAUUGGGACUGAGACACGGCCCAAACUCCUACGGGAGGCAGCAGUAGGGAAUCUUCCACAAUGGACGAAAGUCUGAUGGAGCAACGCCGCGUGAGUGAAGAAGGGUUUCGGCUCGUAAAACUCUGUUGUUAAAGAAGAACAUAUCUGAGAGUAACUGUUCAGGUAUUGACGGUAUUUAACCAGAAAGCCACGGCUAACUACGUGCCAGCAGCCGCGGUAAUACGUAGGUGGCAAGCGUUGUCCGGAUUUAUUGGGCGUAAAGCGAGCGCAGGCGGUUUUUUAAGUCUGAUGUGAAAGCCUUCGGCUCAACCGAAGAAGUGCAUCGGAAACUGGGAAACUUGAGUGCAGAAGAGGACAGUGGAACUCCAUGUGUAGCGGUGAAAUGCGUAGAUAUAUGGAAGAACACCAGUGGCGAAGGCGGCUGUCUGGUCUGUAACUGACGCUGAGGCUCGAAAGUAUGGGUAGCAAACAGGAUUAGAUACCCUGGUAGUCCAUACCGUAACGAUGAAUGCUAAGUGUUGGAGGGUUUCCGCCCUUCAGUGCUGCAGCUAACGCAUUAAGCAUUCGCUGGGGAGUACGCGCAGCUGAACUCA
RNAcentral lists this ribosomal RNA (872 nucleotides) under Lactiplantibacillus plantarum. RNAcentral's name for it is "bacterial SSU rRNA". It matches the Rfam family "Bacterial small subunit ribosomal RNA", at positions 57 to 903 of the family's 1533-position model. Lineage: Bacteria; Bacillati; Bacillota; Bacilli; Lactobacillales; Lactobacillaceae. The record is from RNAcentral.